CCUACGGGUGGCAGCAGUGAGGAAUAUUGGUCAAUGGACGAGAGUCUGAACCAGCCAAGUAGCGUGAAGGAUGACUGCCCUAUGGGUUGUAAACUUCUUUUAUAUGGGAAUAAAAUGUUCCACGUGUGGGAUUUUGUAUGUACCAUAUGAAUAAGGAUCGGCUAACUCCGUGCCAGCAGCCGCGGUAAUACGGAGGAUCCGAGCGUUAUCCGGAUUUAUUGGGUUUAACGGGAGCGUAGGUGGAUUGUUAAGUCAGUUGUGAAAGUUUGCGGCUCAACCGUAAAAUUGCAGUUGAAACUGGCAGUCUUGAGUACAGUAGAGGUGGGCGGAAGUCGUGGUGUAGCGGUGAAAUGCUGAGAUAUCACGAAGAAAUCCGAUUGCGAAGGCAGUUCACUGGACUGCAACUGACACUGAGGCUCGAAAGUGUGGGUAUCAAACAGGAUUAGAUACCCCUGUAGUC
This 460-nucleotide ribosomal RNA is filed under the name uncultured bacterium. RNAcentral's name for it is "partial 16S ribosomal RNA". It matches the Rfam family "Bacterial small subunit ribosomal RNA", at positions 338 to 795 of the family's 1533-position model. The record is from RNAcentral.